RNAcentral lists this long non-coding RNA (3354 nucleotides) under Ananas comosus (pineapple). RNAcentral describes it as "long non-coding RNA (ACOM_LNC038823)". The record is from RNAcentral. Lineage: Eukaryota; Viridiplantae; Streptophyta; Magnoliopsida; Poales; Bromeliaceae.
UCCAUGGAUUAAAUUGUUAGAAUUGACAAUACGAUGAUGAAAGUGAAGAGAGGGUCAAUCUUCAGUGAUUGAAAUUGUGAUCGACCCAUUAUUUUUAUGAACAAAAGGGUAAAGUGCGCCAGAUCGACCCAUUAUUUUUAUUAACAAAAGGGUAAAGUGCGCCGGGUUGUUGAUGAGUGUAGCUGAUAAUGCACUGAGGUGCUUUUAUUUUAAUUCUUGUUAGUGCAGCAUUCUAAUUCUAAUUUAGUCUCUGACUGUUGUAAAACUCGAUCGUUUUAGCGCUCUGAAACCCUAAAUUCAUGGCGGGGUUAACUUUUCAAGGCUUGUAAAGUGUAAGCCAAAAGAGAAUGUAGUGAAAUGUAACAAAAGUAAAAGUAUGAUUGAUUAUAUAAAGUUUUAUCCUAGUAAUAUUUAUUGCCAUGUUGAUUUGAAAAUAAAAGAUGCCAAUGAGGAUUCUGAAAUAUAAUCUAUGAAGAAAACUUGGUCAACAACUUAAAAGCGAGCAGGAAGUGCAAAGGGAAAAGUGUAUAUACUUUUGUUGCAGUGGAAAGUUGAAAGAGCUAUGCUACUGGUACAACCCAUAUUGGGUUGUACAUCCUACAACUGAGUGAUCCAAAGGCUCAUAUUAAGUUGCAUUUGGAAAAAAAAAAAAAAAUGGUGUUAUCCUCACUCCCAUUUUCUGGCCCCUCACUCUUUCCCCCCAUUUUUUUACCUCAAUCGUUUCUGUCGCCUGCGAGCUAGAGAGAGCAAUAUGAGCGAUAGAUCGAGAGAGAGAGAAGAGCUCGAGCGAGAGAGACUGGGGAAAUAUUCUGUCGCCUACGAGUUAUUAUUGCUAGCGGGUCGGGUCGUUGCAUUAGUUAUCCAGUCGAAAAUUUGUGUAUUUAUUUAUUUUUAUGCUUAAUCUAUUAUAACGACCCGACCAGCUAACAACAAUAACUCGUUGGGCCAAACCACCGGCCCAAAAUGCUUAAGCCCAGUUAUUAUCACUAGCGUGUAGGCCUCAUAUCAACCGAUCGAAAUCAGUAUCCUAUCCGAUGUGGGACUAUUGGGGCGUUACAAGCUCCCCCUGUUUAGACCCUGACGUUCUCGUCGGGUCCAAACCAUAUCACAAACAGACAAACCAGGAUCAGAAUUACCAGGCGAUGUGCGAUUCUAGAGGUGGCUCCUACGGGUUCAAAAGGUGGCUCCUACCAAAUCCGUUGGUGUAGCACUUUGUCCCUCAUAGCACUUAGCUCUCACACUUUCGGCUGGUAUUCGGCUCUGAUACCAAUUGCAACAACCCGACCCGCUAACAAUAAUAACUCGUUGGGCCCAAACCACCGGCCCAAAAUGCUUAAGCCCAGUUAUUAUCACUAGCGUGUAGGCCUCACAUAAACCAAUCGAAAUCAGUAUCCUAUCCGAUGUGGGACUAUUGGGGCGUUACAAACUCCCCCUGUUUAGACCAUGACGUUCUCGUCGGGUCCAAACCAUAUCACAGGCAGACAAACCAGGACCAGAAUUACCAGGCGAUAUGAGAUUCUAGAGGUAGCUCCUACGGGUUUAAGAGAUGGCUCCCAUCAAAUCCGUUGGUGUAGUACUUCGUCCCUCAUAGCACUUAGCUCUCACACUUCCGGCUGGUAUUUGGCUCUGAUACCAAUUGCAACAACCCGACCCGCUAGCAAUAAUAACUCGUUGGGCCCAAACCACCGGCCCAAAAUGCUUAAGCCCAGUUAUUAUCACUAGCGUUGUCACGCCCCGCGACCGCUACCAAUUUGGCUCGGCCCGGGCGCGUCGAACAGACGCCGAACGGACAGCACCUCCCCUGUCCGCCCAAGGCUAACAACGAGAUUGUGUACAACAAGUUCCCAGGAAAAUAACUUGAAUACAUACACAAUCAAUAACUACAAUGAGAGCACAAUCAGUGCAAAACGACCAAGAGCAAGAUACAAGUAUAGAACAUACAAGUAAUGAUAAAGAGAGAGUAUCUAUCUAUUACAUUCAUUCAGCCUUUAUAAUACAAUUCGAUUAUACAUUGAACUUCCAAAAUAUAAACAUUAGCUUACAUUCAUUCCAGAAUAUCUCACAUCCUAUACAUCAUCUACUCUCAAAGCAUAAAAGGUGACUCUAAUGCAGAAAUAGGAAAGUAGACUAAUGCAACUAGGGCGCUAAGCCCUUACCGCGAUCCUCGCCGUGUGAACUCGCGCUCGGCCCUGUAGUAAAAUGGGGGUGAGAACUAACUUCCUUAGUUCCCAGUGGGUUCGGCCGCCGACUCCGCCGAUCUCCCCACUAGGUCCAAGUUGGGCACAAGUAGAUAAUCGAUAGAUAGAUAGAUAAGGAAAGCGGUAAAUGACAGAAGUAAAACUACUCUACUAUGCCCAAUCAUAAGUAUAUGAAUGCAUGUCCAAUGAAAUAGGUAAGCAACUAACCUGUUAUCAUGUCCAAAGGUGAAGCUAUUCACUCGUUCAUUUACCUCAUUUACUUGUUCAUUAAUCUCAUGGCUUAUCCGGAGGCUCGCCUACAGCUCACUAGCCAUCUCGACACGUAGGGAGGAUUAACUCGCACUACGAACCCGAGACCGUCUGGCGGGGCCAAAUAGGCAAUCCCUGGCGUGACCAACAUCCGGAGCGCACUACUUGUGUGGGGCUUCCAUCACAAGAUUUAACAGACCGUGAGCAUGAUCCAAUCCUCUAAGCUCGAGGAUACCCUGUCCUCUAGGGUUACAAUCAUCAUAUAGUCCAUAGGUUUCAUAUACACUAUGACUCACAUAUGUCACUCGUUCUUUUGUUUACUAUCAACUAGAUGCCACUCGUUCUUUACAAGUUUCCAAUGCAAUAGCCAAUACAUUACUAAAUUCCCAUCCUCACUUGUCAUCUCAUUAUAGGGUUCCACAUCACAUAUAUAAACCUCAAGCAUGCUAGAUAUAAGUACUAAGCCAAAUACAUUAUUCUACCAAAGAACAUGCAAGGUGUAGAAUCAAACCAUCAUUUAUCACCCUAUAAUGCAAGAUGUCAACAUGUCAAUAUGCAAUUUGAUCAAUAUAAAAACUUAGACAUAAAAGGGAGCCCGAUUGAUUCGGGAUGGACACCACCCACCUUUUAUAGCGUUCCGAUUGCUCGUCGUCACUCGCAAUCGGCCUCCUGCGGCGCACGCCGCACGGCUCGACCCAACUCAAGCGCGACUGCCAAAUGACCUCCUAUCCGCGAUCCGUCUGUUCUGGAGUUUAUUCCCCGACACCACGAUGCUACGGUUCCAUUUCCAUGAUUUUUGGAAGCUUUCGCCGCGAGCUGCGGCAAUCUGUACCUUAACGGCUUCGAUCCUCAAUAUCUUUGUAGCGGCUCGACGGAUUGCCAAACCGUCGCUUCCAACGCGUUCAGU